UGGUAGGGAUAUUUAUUGGGCCUACAGCAUUCGUAGCCGGCUAGGUAAAUCCCCCGUUAAAUCCAAUGACUUAAUCGUUGGACUGCGUGGGACACUGCUUGGCUAGGGGGCGGGAGAGGCCGACGGUAUUCUCGGGGUAGGGGUGAAAUCCUAUAAUCCCGGGAGGACCACCAGUGGCGAAG
RNAcentral lists this ribosomal RNA (182 nucleotides) under Candidatus Bathyarchaeota archaeon. RNAcentral's name for it is "partial 16S ribosomal RNA". It matches the Rfam family "Archaeal small subunit ribosomal RNA", at positions 489 to 671 of the family's 1478-position model. The record is from RNAcentral. Lineage: Archaea; Thermoproteati; Candidatus Bathyarchaeota.